ACCUGAGGCAGGGGUGAUUUCUGAGGCACCUGAGGCACCUGAAAGGGAGUUAGUUCCUGAGGUACCUCAGGGUCCUGAGGCACCUGAGGCAGGGGUGGUUCCUCAGGGUCCUGAAGCACCUGAGGCACAGGCAGUUCCUGAGGUACCUGAGGCACAGGCGGUUCCUGAGGUACCUGAGGCACAGGCGGUUCCUGAAGCACCUGAGGCACAGGCAGUUCCUGAGGCAGAUGUAAGAUUAACUGGGUCCUAAUAUUGGAUGGCACAUUGUACAUCUCUACCACAUAAAGGAAUGGUCAGUGGCCUUGAAACAAUGUGAGAUCGUAAGGAGACAACGCAGAGGAUCUCUGGGCUCAUGGAAAAGUCCAGGUCUUUGGAGAUCCCUGGGUCCAACCUCCUGUUAAAAGCAGGGCAACAGACCAGGUGAACCAGAGCCCAUAAAGCCAAGUCUGGAAUACUUCCAGUGAGGAAAGAAGUUUCCACUGUUUUCUGGAUCAUCCAGCUGCCUUGAUAUUUGGGUGAAAGAAAAGGCAAGAUGAACAGACCAACAGCUACUGACCAAAGCCCAAAAAAUCCAACAUGAAGGGAAAAUAAAAUUCAAGAGGAAUUUUACACCAGUGAGUGAAUUUGUGGAUCAGUCAACUUGACAAAGUUAAAACAAGAUUAUUUGGAACACAAUUUAGGGCAUUAAUCCACACAGAAUAAAUUUGUUAUAUACAGACUUCACAAUGCAUUGCUCCAAAUGUAUUUCAGUUUAGUAAUUUCUAUGUUGUUUGGGCUUGCCAGUGUUUUUGUUAAUUUAAUUUUGUUGUUGGGUAGUUUUUGCAGGUUGUGGGGUUGUUUUUAAAAAUUUUUUGGUUGUUUUGGUUUUAAUCUUUAAUCCCAUUGUUACCCUUUUAGAAACAUUUCAGCAACCAGACUAAUUGCUUCCAUUGUGCAUAAAACAUGGGCUCUUUCCUACAAGUUUUAUUACAGAAUAAAAAGAUGCCCUGUCUCCAGUGGAACUUGCAAUCCAAGUAUGGACAUUUCAGCUGAGGAGGGGUUCAGCCCAGAUGUCCCACUACAGACACAGCUGGUGAGGUGCUGUUCAGCUACACCCUCUUUUUCUGUGACCAUCUGAACUUUCUAAGGGCAUGCUGCAAAAUUUACUGGUAAUGCCUAGCCCUGGAAAACCACCAAAUCCACAAGUAUCAAACUUUUAGUUUUUCACUGCUCAUAUUUUUUUUUUUUUAAUCUGUCUCACAAAAUCAGUA
Vidua macroura (Pin-tailed whydah) is the source of this 1250-nucleotide long non-coding RNA. RefSeq lists it as uncharacterized. The record is from RefSeq and is a predicted model, not a curated record. NCBI's taxonomy places the organism in Eukaryota, Metazoa, Chordata, Aves, Passeriformes, Viduidae. The transcript has 3 exons.